AACGCACAUUGCGCCCGCCAGUAUUCUGGCGGGCAUGCCUGUUCGAGCGUCAUUUCAACCAUCAAGCCCCAGGCUUGUGUUGGGGACCUGCGGCUGCCGCAGGCCCUGAAAACCAGUGGCGGGCUCGCUGUCACACCGGGCGUAGUAGAUUUUAUCUCGCUCUGGGCGUGCUGCGGGUUCCGGCCGUUAAAAAACCCUUUUUACCCAAGGUUGACCUCGGAUCAGGUAGGAAUACCCGCUGAACUUAA
This 248-nucleotide unclassified non-coding RNA is filed under the name uncultured Chaetomiaceae. Its description in RNAcentral is "sequence contains ITS2". The stretch from base 1 to 52 matches the Rfam family "5.8S ribosomal RNA", at positions 103 to 154 of the family's 154-position model. The record is from RNAcentral. Lineage: Eukaryota; Fungi; Ascomycota; Sordariomycetes; Sordariales.